AAAGGGUGCGCAGGCGGCGCGAAAAGUCAGCGGUCAAAGUUCCGGGCUCAACCCGGUGACGCCGUUGAAACUUUCGGGCUGGAGUUCGUGCGAGGGAGGCGGAAUGCGUUGUGUAGCGGUGAAAUGCAUAGAUAUGACGCAGAACCCCGAUUGCGAAGGCAGCUUUCCAGCACGCGACUGACGCUGAGGCACGAAAGCGUGGGGAGCGAACAGGAUUAGAUACCCUGGUAGUCCACGCGGUAAACGAUGAAUACUAGCCCUGCGGCGCGAAUGGGUGCUGCGGGGCAGAGUGAAAACGUUAAGUAUUCCACCUGGGGAGUACGCCGGCAACGGUGAAACUCAAAGGAAUUGACGGGGGCCCGCACAAGCGGAGGAACAUGUGGUUUAAUUCGAUGAUACGCGAGGAACCUUACCCGGGCUCAAACGGCGGGAGACGCGUCCGGAAACGGGCGUUCCCUUCGGGGCUGCCGCCGAGGUGCUGCAUGGUUGUCGUCAGCUCGUGCCGUGAGGUGUCGGCUUAAGUGCCAUAACGAGCGCAACCCCCAUCUUCAGUUGCCAGCGGGCAAGGCCGGGCACUCUGGAGAGACUGCCAGCGCAAGCUGUGAGGAAGGCGGGGAUGACGUCAAAUCAGCACGGCCCUUACGUCCGGGGCGACACACGUGUUACAAUGGCAGGGUCACAGAGGGAAGCCAGGCGGCGACGCCGAGCCGAUCCCGAAAACCUGUCUCAGUUCGGAUCGGAGUCUGCAACCCGACUCCGUGAAGCUGGAUUCGCUAGUAAUCGCG
RNAcentral lists this ribosomal RNA (785 nucleotides) under uncultured Bacteroidota bacterium. RNAcentral describes it as "bacterial SSU rRNA". It matches the Rfam family "Bacterial small subunit ribosomal RNA", at positions 562 to 1346 of the family's 1533-position model. Lineage: Bacteria; Pseudomonadati; Bacteroidota. The record is from RNAcentral.